UUUCGCAAUGCCCGAAAGGGUGACGAAGCGACGCCGCGUGUGGGAAGAAGGCCUUCGGGUUGUAAACCACUGUCGGGAGUUAGGAAAUGCAGGUGCGUUAAUAGCGCACUUGCUUGACUAAGGCUCCAGAGGAAGCCACGGCUAACUCCGUGCCAGCAGCCGCGGUAAUACAGAGGCGGCAAGCGUUGUUCGGAAUUAUUGGGCGUAAAGAGCACGUAGGCGGCCUUGCAAGUCAGUUGUGAAAGCCUUCCGCUUAACGGAAGAACGGCAUCUGAUACUACAGGGCUUGAGUACGGGAGGGGAGAGUGGAACUUCUGGUGGAGCGGUGAAAUGCGUAGAUAUCAGAAGGAACGCCGGCGGCGAAAGCGACUCUCUGGUCCGAAACUGACGCUGAGUGUGCGAAAGCUAGGGGAGCAAACGGGAUUAGAUACCCCGGUAGUCCUAGCCGUAAACGAUGGGCACUAAGUAGAGGGGUUUU
RNAcentral lists this ribosomal RNA (478 nucleotides) under uncultured Planctomycetales bacterium. RNAcentral describes it as "bacterial SSU rRNA". It matches the Rfam family "Bacterial small subunit ribosomal RNA", at positions 364 to 832 of the family's 1533-position model. The record is from RNAcentral. Lineage: Bacteria; Pseudomonadati; Planctomycetota; Planctomycetia; Planctomycetales.